ACUCCUACGGGAGGCAGCAGUGGGGAAUAUUGCACAAUGGGCGCAAGCCUGAUGCAGCCAUGCCGCGUGUGUGAAGAAGGCCUUCGGGUUGUAAAGCACUUUCAGCGGGGAGGAAGGGUCACUAGUUAAUACCUAGUGGCAUUGACGUUACUCGCAGAAGAAGCACCGGCUAACUCCGUGCCAGCAGCCGCGGUAAUACA
This 200-nucleotide ribosomal RNA is filed under the name uncultured bacterium. RNAcentral's name for it is "partial 16S ribosomal RNA". It matches the Rfam family "Bacterial small subunit ribosomal RNA", at positions 335 to 527 of the family's 1533-position model. The record is from RNAcentral.